This 421-nucleotide ribosomal RNA is filed under the name uncultured bacterium. RNAcentral describes it as "bacterial SSU rRNA". It matches the Rfam family "Bacterial small subunit ribosomal RNA", at positions 355 to 774 of the family's 1533-position model. The record is from RNAcentral.
UGAGGAAUAUUGGUCAAUGGGCGAGAGCCUGAACCAGCCAAGUAGCGUGAAGGAUGAAGGCCCUAUGGGUCGUAAACUUCUUUUAUGGGGGAAUAAAGUGAGGUAUGUAUACCUUUUUGUAUGUACCCUAUGAAUAAGGAUCGGCUAACUCCGUGCCAGCAGCCGCGGUAAUACGGAGGAUCCGAGCGUUGUCCGGAAUUAUUGGGCGUAAAGGGAGCGCAGGUGGAUCGUAAAGUCUUGUUUAAAAGAGCGGGGCUCAGCCCCGUUAGGGACAAGAAACUUAAGAUCUUGAGUGCAGGAGAGGGAAGCGGAAUUCCUAGUGUAGCGGUGAAAUGCGUAGAUAUUAGGAGGAACACCAGUGGCGAAGGCGGCUUCCUGGACUGUAACUGACACUGAGGCUCGAAAGCUAGGGUAGCGAACG